GGGCCCGCACAAGCGGUGGAGCAUGUGGUUUAAUUCGAUGAUACGCGAGGAACCUUACCAGGGCUUAAAUGUGGUUUGACAGCUUUAGAGAUAGAGUUUUCUUCGGACAAAUCACAAGGUGCUGCAUGGUUGUCGUCAGCUCGUGCCGUGAGGUGUCAGGUUAAGUCCUAUAACGAGCGCAACCCCUGUUGUUAGUUGCCAGCGAGUAAUGUCGGGAACUCUAGCAAGACUGCCGGUGCAAACCGUGAGGAAGGUGGGGAUGACGUCAAAUCAUCACGGCCCUUACGUCCUGGGCUACACACGUGCUACAAUGGUAGGGACAGAGAGCAGCCACUUCGUGAGAAGGAGCGAAAUCUAUAAACCCUAUCACAGUUCGGAUCGGGGUCUGCAACUCGACCCCGUGAAGCUGGAAUCGCUAGUAAUCG
Molecule: ribosomal RNA, 425 nt
Filed under: uncultured bacterium
Lineage: Bacteria
Description: bacterial SSU rRNA
Rfam family: Bacterial small subunit ribosomal RNA
Source: RNAcentral